GAUGAAGAACGCAGCGAAAUGCGAUAAGUAGUGUGAAUUGCAGAAUUCCGUGAAUCAUCGAAUCUUUGAACGCACAUUGCGCCUUCUGGUAUUCCGGAAGGCAUGCCUGUUCGAGAGUCAUUAACAACCGUUUCGAUCCCUUUCUUUCAGAAAUUACAAAGAGGAAAAGGGUUUGGUUAUGGUGGAGGAGGGAAAGGGAGCGUUUAGCCUGUAAAAAAAGAGGCUGUGUUCCGCCUCCCCCCCAAAAUUGUACAGGCGGUCGUGUGCGCCCACGCAUCGAGGUGUUGUAAAAGCUGCCACGGCACUUUUCACCUGUGCAGUGCGAGAUUGGCCAGCCGGUUUAAAAACCCCUCCAAACAAUCAAAGGUUGACCUCGGAUCAGGUAGGGAUACCCGCUGAACUUAAGCAUAUCAAUAAGCAGAGGA
Molecule: unclassified non-coding RNA, 425 nt
Filed under: soil metagenome
Description: partial contains 5.8S ribosomal RNA, internal transcribed spacer 2, and large subunit ribosomal RNA
Rfam family: 5.8S ribosomal RNA (bases 1-120)
Source: RNAcentral